This 407-nucleotide ribosomal RNA is filed under the name uncultured bacterium. Its description in RNAcentral is "partial 16S ribosomal RNA". It matches the Rfam family "Bacterial small subunit ribosomal RNA", at positions 30 to 526 of the family's 1533-position model. The record is from RNAcentral.
AUUGAACGCUGGCGGCAGGCCUAACACAUGCAAGUCGAGCGGAGCGGCGGACGGGUGAGUAAUGCCUAGGAAUCUGCCUGGUAGUGGGGGAUAACGUCCGGAAACGGGCGCUAAUAUCGCAUACUACCAGAUGAGCCUAGGUCGGAUCAGCUAGUUUGUGGGGUAAAGGCCUACCAAUGCGACGAUCCGUAACUGGUCUGAGAGGAUGAACAGUCACACUGGAACUGAGCGACUGUCCAGACUCCUACGGGAGGCAGCAUUGGCGAAUAUUGGACAAUGGGCGAAAGCCUGAUCCAGCCAUGCCGCGUGUGUGCAGAAGGUCUUCGGAUUGUAAAGCACUUUCAGUUGGGAGGCGUUACCAACAGAAUAAGCACCGGCUAACUUCGUGCCAGCAGCCGCGGUAAUUC